Cairina moschata (Muscovy duck) is the source of this 1848-nucleotide long non-coding RNA. The record is from Ensembl. NCBI's taxonomy places the organism in Eukaryota, Metazoa, Chordata, Aves, Anseriformes, Anatidae.
CCCCCCCAGCCCCCCCCAGCACCCCGGUACCCUGAGGAAGGCGUCGAGGGCUCCGUUCUCCAUGUACUCGGUGAGGAUCAUGGCGGGGGCGCUGGCGGUCACCACCCCCCGCAGCCGCACCACGUUGGGGUGGGCGAACUGCCCCAUACGGGCGGCCUCCCCCAAAAAAUCCCGGCGCUGCCGCUCGCCAGCGCCCCCCUUCAGCGUCUUCACCGCCACCGGCGACUCCGGGCGCCCCGGCAGCGCCAGCCGGCCCCGGCACACCUCCCCGAAUUCCCCUGGGGGGGCAAAGAGGUGUUGGGGGGGGACAUGGGGCCACCCUAAACCACCCCGUAGGCUCAAUGGGGCUUGGUUGGGUGGCGUUGGGGUGUCUUGGGGACGUUAUUGGGGACAUCGCUGGGGACAUCGUUGGGGACAUCGUUGGGUGUCAUUGGGAUAUUGUGGGACGUCUUGGGGACAUCGUUGGGGACAUUGUUGGGGUCUCUUGGGGACGUUAUUGGGGACAUCGUUGGGGACAUCGUUGGGUGUCAUUGGGGCGUCUUGGGGACAUCGUUGGGGACAUCGUUGGGGACAUCGUUGGGAUGUCAUUGGGGGACAAUGUUGGGUGACGUUGGGGACAUCGUUGGGGACAUUGUUGGGGUCUCUUCGGGACGUUAUUGGGGACAUUGUUGGGGACAUCGUUGGGAUGUCAUUGGGGGACAAUGUUGGGUGUCGUUGGGGACAUCGUUGGGUGUCGUUGGGGUGUCUUGGGGACAUCAUUGGGGACAUCGUUGGGGACAUUUUUGGGACAUCGUUGGGAUGUCAUUGGGCAGAUUGGGAUGUUAAUGGGGACAUGGAUGGGGACAUGGAUGGGGACAUGGAUGGGGACAUCUUUGGGGACAUCUUUGGGGAUACAUCGACGGGGACAUGGCUGGGGUCACCCUGGGGACGGGGGCGUUUUGGGGGGGGGGUGCGCGGCGGUGUCAUUGUCACCUGCCCCGAUGACCUCCUCGAUCUUGACGCAGGCGACGUCGAUCUCCUGGGCGAAGUCCCGCACGGCCGCCCCGGGGUCCUCGUAGGUGAGGGGGUCGAUGUACAGCUUCCUGCCUGCGUGGCACCAUCAUCAUCAUCAUCAACAUCAUCAUCGUCAUCAUCGUCAUCAUCGUCAUCAAUAUCAUCAUCAUGAACAUCAUCAUCAUCAUCAUCUUCAUCAUCAUCAUCAUUAUCAUCAUCAACAUCAUCAUCAUCAACAUCAUCGUCAUCAAUAUCAUCUUCAACAUCAUCCUCAUCAUCCUCAUCAUCAACAUCAUCAACGUCAUCAUCAACAUCAUCAUCAACAUCAUCAUCUUCAUCAUCGUCAUCAUCAUCAUCAUGAACAUCGUCAUCAUCAUCAACAUCAUCAUCUUCAUCAUCAUCAUCAUCAUCAUCAAAUCAUCAUCUUCAUCAUCGUCAUCAUCUUCAUCAUCGUCAUCUUCAUUAUCAUCAUUAUCAUCAUCAUCAUCAUUAUCAUCAUCAUCAACAUCAUCAUCAUCAUCAUCAUCGUCAUCGUCAUCAACAUCAUCAUUGUCAUCAUCAUCAUCAUCAUCGUCAUCUUCAUCAUCAUCGUCAUCUUCAUCAUCAUCAUCAUCAUCGUCAUCAUCAUCAUCAUGAACAUCAUCAUCAUCAUCUUCAUCAUCAACAUCAUCAUCUUCAACAUCAUCUUCAUCAUCAUCAUCAUCAACAUCGUCAUCAUCAUCAACGUCAUCAUCAACAACAUCAUCAUCUUCAUCUUCAUCAUCAUCAUCAUCAUCGUCACCCCACCACCACGGGGCUGCAGUGACCACGGCGCCGUCGCCGCGCUCGAUGUUUUUUGGGGGACUUGGGGACACC